UACGGAGGGCUAGCGUUGUUCGGAAUUACUGGGCGUAAAGCGCACGUAGGUGGCUUGGUAAGCGUGUGGUGAAAGUCCGGGGCUCAACCCCGGAUCUGCCGUGCGAACUGCUGAGCUCGAGCAAUGUAGAGGCAGGUGGAAUUUCGGGUGUAGCGGUGGAAUGCGUAGAUAUCCGAAAGAACACCAGUGGCGAAGGCGGCCUGCUGGGCAUUAGCUGACACUGAGGCGCGACAGCGUGGGGAGCAAACAGGAUUAGAAACCCUAGUAGU
Molecule: ribosomal RNA, 269 nt
Filed under: uncultured bacterium
Lineage: Bacteria
Description: partial 16S ribosomal RNA
Rfam family: Bacterial small subunit ribosomal RNA
Source: RNAcentral